AGGCCUAUGAUGAUAUCUUUAACAAAGUUGGAAUUACCGGCUGAGGUUGAAAAACCUUGUAUGAUGCAAGCUAUGUCUGGCUAUCUGAGGCUUAAG
This 96-nucleotide small nucleolar RNA is filed under the name Ananas comosus (pineapple). The record is from RNAcentral. Lineage: Eukaryota; Viridiplantae; Streptophyta; Magnoliopsida; Poales; Bromeliaceae.